RNAcentral lists this ribosomal RNA (253 nucleotides) under uncultured bacterium. RNAcentral describes it as "partial 16S ribosomal RNA". It matches the Rfam family "Bacterial small subunit ribosomal RNA", at positions 524 to 776 of the family's 1533-position model. The record is from RNAcentral.
UACGUAGGGUGCAAGCGUUAAUCGGAAUUACUGGGCGUAAAGCGUGCGCAGGCGGCUUUGCAAGACAGAUGUGAAAUCCCCGGGCUUAACCUGGGAACUGCAUUUGUGACUGCAUGGCUAGAGUGCGGCAGAGGGGGAUGGAAUUCCGCGUGUAGCAGUGAAAUGCGUAGAUAUCAAGUGGAACACCAGUGGCGAAGGCGAGUCCCUGGACAACUCCUGACACUGAGGCACGAAAGCUAGGGGAGCAAACAGG